AAGUGUUCUAGAGAAGAUUUCCUACUGGACCAUUUCUGUCGACGCCAUGUACCUGGAGGGACCAAAUACAAGAAGAACACUGACAAUUCUUUCUGUCAUCGGAAAUCAACGAAGAGCAGCAGAAGUCAGCCAAACUCGAAGAGCACCAUUUCAACAUCCAGCCUGAACCCUGUAGAAAAAACUUCACCUCCCCAUCAAGAUGAAUUGGAUAUCGCAGAUCA
Mya arenaria is the source of this 221-nucleotide long non-coding RNA. RefSeq lists it as uncharacterized. NCBI's taxonomy places the organism in Eukaryota, Metazoa, Mollusca, Bivalvia, Myida, Myidae. The transcript is spliced from 3 exons. The record is from RefSeq and is a predicted model, not a curated record.